UGGUUUUUAAUUGGGAGCAGCUUAUCUGACCAUUUGGAUGGUGUCUAAGACAAGCUUAGCAGACCCUCCCACCAAUCUCACUUACCUAGCCAAUUUGAUAAAUUAUGUCUUGAUUAGACUGCUAAGUGAUUCAAGUUGAUCCAUACCAUUAAGGUUGAUCAGUGUGACUGAUCUUGGUGUCAGUUCAACCAGCAUGACCUUAAUCCAAUUCAAUGACUUGGUGAAGUC
RNAcentral lists this long non-coding RNA (228 nucleotides) under Elaeis guineensis (African oil palm). RNAcentral's name for it is "long non-coding RNA (EGUI_LNC079801)". The record is from RNAcentral. Lineage: Eukaryota; Viridiplantae; Streptophyta; Magnoliopsida; Arecales; Arecaceae.